This 261-nucleotide unclassified non-coding RNA is filed under the name Hevea brasiliensis (rubber tree). Lineage: Eukaryota; Viridiplantae; Streptophyta; Magnoliopsida; Malpighiales; Euphorbiaceae. The record is from RNAcentral.
AUUAUGUAUGUUAGUUGUGUUGCAUGAGACUUUAUGCAUUAGCAUGUAGAAGUUGGCUUCACUUAUUCCUGUUAUUAGGAGUGUACUUGAAAUUGGCCAUUACUUAGGCAGAGACAACUAAUGUUUGUUGCAGCCAGCAUCAUAGGAUAGUUAAUUGUUGUUUCUAUUAAGUUCAUGCUUAAUUUGACUUUCAUUGCUGUGCAAACUGCAAAUGUCAUAAUGUCCUUUACAAUUGUUCAUUAUCCUGGAUGUAAGAGCGAG